UACGUAGGGACCGAGCGUUGUCCGGAAUCAUUGGGCGUAAAGAGCGUGUAGGCGGCUUGCUAAGUCCUGCGUGAAAUCUCGGGGCUCAACCCCGAGCGGUCGUGGGAAACUGGCAGGCUAGAGUGCGGGAGAGGAGAGUGGAAUUCCUGGUGUAGCGGUGAAAUGCGCAGAUAUCAGGAAGAACACCCGUGGCGGAAGGCGGCUCUCUGGAAC
Molecule: ribosomal RNA, 213 nt
Filed under: uncultured bacterium
Lineage: Bacteria
Description: partial 16S ribosomal RNA
Rfam family: Bacterial small subunit ribosomal RNA
Source: RNAcentral